Molecule: ribosomal RNA, 1246 nt
Filed under: wastewater metagenome
Description: bacterial LSU rRNA
Rfam family: Bacterial large subunit ribosomal RNA
Source: RNAcentral
CCAAUCAAACUCGGUGAUAGCUGGUUCUCCCCGAAAUGCAUUUAGGUGCAGCGUCGUGAGUUCAGUAUCGGAGGUAGAGCUACUGGAUGGUUUAGGGGGCCUACAAGCUUACCAACAUCAGCCAAACUCCGAAUGCCGAUACUCCAGAUCACGGCAGUGAGACUAUGGGGGCUAAGCUUCAUAGUCGAGAGGGAAACAGCCCAGAGCGCCAACUAAGGUCCCAAAUUUAUACUCAGUGGUAAACGAUGUGGGAAUGCCUAGACAGCCAGGAGGUUGGCUUAGAAGCAGCCAUCCUUGAAAGAGUGCGUAAUAGCUCACUGGUCGAGUGUUCCUGCGCGGACAAUGUAACGGGGCUCAAGUAUAAAACCGAAGUUGCGUCAUUAGGAUAAUUUAUUAUUACUGAUGGGUAGGGGAGCGUCGAGUUCGACUGUGAAGCCAGAUGAUAACGUCUGGUGGAGUGGACUCGAGUGAGAAUGCUGGCAUGAGUAGCGAACGAAGGGGGAGGAACCCUUCCUCCGAAUAUCCAAGGGUUCCUGGGCAAGGCUCAUCCGCCCAGGGUUAGUCGGGAGCUAAGGCGAGGCCGAAAGGCGUAGUCGAUGCACAACUGGUUGAUAUUCCAGUACCACCAUAUUCGCGCCCAGCCUAAGCUAAUUUGCUAAGUGGCUGUUAAUUUAUUAACGAAACGACCCAAUUAGUGCAUGGUAAUUGUAGGGGGACGCAGGAAGGUAGAUCUGACAGGUGAUGGUUAUCCUGGAAGUAAGUAAGUAGGGAGUGUGAUAGGAAAAUCCGUUGCACAUUAAUCCUGAGAUACGACACGUAGCCGAUUUAGGCGAUUUGAUUGAUCCUAUGCUGCCUAGAAAAGCCUAGCAAUGAGUUAAUAUGGUGCCCGUACCCCAAACCGACACAGGUAGAUAAGUAGAGAAUACUAAGGAGAGCGAGAUAACUCCGGUUAAGGAACUCGGCAAAAUGCCCCCGUAACUUCGGGAUAAGGGGGGCCUCAGUAAAGUGAUUGUCUUCGCGACAUGAGCUUGAGGAGGCCGCAGUGACUAGAGCCAAGCGACUGUUUACCAAAAACACAGGUGCAUGCGAAGCCGUAAGGCGAUGUAUAUGCACUGACGCCUGCCCAAUGCUGGAAGGUCACGGAGAGAGGUUAGCGCUUGUCGCGAAGCUUCGAACUUAAGCCCCAGUGAAUGGCGGCCGUAACUAUAACGGUCCUAAGGUAGCGAAAUUCCUUGUCGGGUAAGUU